UACGAAGGGGGCUAGCGUUGCUCGGAAUCACUGGGCGUAAAGGGUGCGUAGGCGGGUCUUUAAGUCAGGGGUGAAAUCCUGGAGCUCAACUCCAGAACUGCCUUUGAUACUGAAGAUCUUGAGUUCGGGAGAGGUGAGUGGAACUGCGAGUGUAGAGGUGAAAUUCGUAGAUAUUCGCAAGAACACCAGUGGCGAAGGCGGCUCGCUGGGCUCUACCUGACGCUGAGGCGCGAAAGCGUGGGGAGCGAACCGG
RNAcentral lists this ribosomal RNA (253 nucleotides) under uncultured bacterium. Its description in RNAcentral is "partial 16S ribosomal RNA". It matches the Rfam family "Bacterial small subunit ribosomal RNA", at positions 524 to 776 of the family's 1533-position model. The record is from RNAcentral.